RNAcentral lists this ribosomal RNA (624 nucleotides) under uncultured bacterium. Its description in RNAcentral is "bacterial SSU rRNA". It matches the Rfam family "Bacterial small subunit ribosomal RNA", at positions 142 to 764 of the family's 1533-position model. The record is from RNAcentral.
GAUAGCCUUUCGAAAGAAAGAUUAAUACCUGAUGGUAUGAUGAGAUUGCAUGAUAGCAUCAUUAAAGAUUUAUCGGUGUACGAUGGGGAUGCGUUCCAUUAGGUAGUAGGCGGGGUAACGGCCCACCUAGCCAACGGUGGAUAGGGGUUCUGAGAGGAAGGUCCCCCACAUUGGAACUGAGACACGGUCCAAACUCCUACGGGAGGCAGCAGUGAGGAAUAUUGGUCAAUGGACGAGAGUCUGAACCAGCCAAGUAGCGUGAAGGAUGAAGGUCCUACGGAUUGUAAACUUCUUUUAUAAGGGAAUAAACCCUCCCACGUGUGGGAGCUUGCAUGUACCGUAUGAAUAAGCAUCGGCUAACUCCGUGCCAGCAGCCGCGGUAAUACGGAGGAUGCGAGCGUUAUCCGGAUUUAUUGGGUUUAAAGGGAGCGCAGACGGGAGAUUAAGUCAGUUGUGAAAGUUUGCGGCUCAACCGUAAAAUUGCAGUUGAUACUGGUUUCCUUGAGUGCAGUUGAGGCAGGCGGAAUUCGUGGUGUAGCGGUGAAAUGCUUAGAUAUCACGAAGAACCCCGAUUGCGAAGGCAGCUUGCUAAACUGUAACUGACGUUCAUGCUCGAAAGUGUGG